This 382-nucleotide ribosomal RNA is filed under the name Staphylococcus pseudintermedius. RNAcentral's name for it is "bacterial SSU rRNA". It matches the Rfam family "Bacterial small subunit ribosomal RNA", at positions 24 to 395 of the family's 1533-position model. Lineage: Bacteria; Bacillati; Bacillota; Bacilli; Caryophanales; Staphylococcaceae. The record is from RNAcentral.
UCAGGAUGAGCGCUGGCGGCGUGCCUAAUACAUGCAAGUCGAGCGAACAGAUAAGGAGCUUGCUCCUUUGACGUUAGCGGCGGACGGGUGAGUAACACGUGGGUAACCUACCUAUAAGACUGGAAUAACUCCGGGAAACCGGGGCUAAUGCCGGAUAACAUGUUGAACCGCAUGGUUCUACAGUGAAAGACGGUCUUGCUGUCACUUAUAGAUGGACCCGCGCCGUAUUAGCUAGUUGGUGGGGUAACGGCCUACCAAGGCGACGAUACGUAGCCGACCUGAGAGGGUGAUCGGCCACACUGGAACUGAGACACGGUNCUNNCUCNUACGGGAGGCAGCAGUAGGGAAUCUUCCGCAAUGGGCGAAAGCCCGACGGAGCAAC